Molecule: ribosomal RNA, 1488 nt
Filed under: uncultured bacterium
Lineage: Bacteria
Description: bacterial SSU rRNA
Rfam family: Bacterial small subunit ribosomal RNA
Source: RNAcentral
AGAGUUUGAUCCUGGUUCAGAUUGAACGCUGGCGGCAGGCCUAACACAUGCAAGUCGAACGGUAACAGGAAGAAGCUUGCUUCUUUGCUGACGAGUGGCGGACGGGUGAGUAAUGUCUGGGAAACUGCCUGAUGGAGGGGGAUAACUACUGGAAACGGUAGCUAAUACCGCAUAACGUCGCAAGACCAAAGAGGGGGACCUUCGGGCCUCUUGCCAUCGGAUGUGCCCAGAUGGGAUUAGCUAGUAGGUGGGGUAACGGCUCACCUAGGCGACGAUCCCUAGCUGGUCUGAGAGGAUGACCAGCCACACUGGAACUGAGACACGGUCCAGACUCCUACGGGAGGCAGCAGUGGGGAAUAUUGCACAAUGGGCGCAAGCCUGAUGCAGCCAUGCCGCGUGUAUGAAGAAGGCCUUCGGGUUGUAAAGUACUUUCAGCGGGGAGGAAGGGAGUAAAGUUAAUACCUUUGCUCAUUGACGUUACCCGCAGAAGAAGCACCGGCUAACUCCGUGCCAGCAGCCGCGGUAAUACGGAGGGUGCAAGCGUUAAUCGGAAUUACUGGGCGUAAAGCGCACGCAGGCGGUUUGUUAAGUCAGAUGUGAAAUCCCCGGGCUCAACCUGGGAACUGCAUCUGAUACUGGCAAGCUUGAGUCUCGUAGAGGGGGGUAGAAUUCCAGGUGUAGCGGUGAAAUGCGUAGAGAUCUGGAGGAAUACCGGUGGCGAAGGCGGCCCCCUGGACGAAGACUGACGCUCAGGUGCGAAAGCGUGGGGAGCAAAAAGGAUUAGAUACCCUGGUAGUCCACGCCGUAAACGAUGUCGACUUGGAGGUUGUGCCCUUGAGGCGUGGCUUCCGGAGCUAACGCGUUAAGUCGACCGCCUGGGGAGUACGGCCGCAAGGUUUAAAACUCAAAUGAAUUGACGGGGGCCCGCACAAGCGGUGGAGCAUGUGGUUUAAUUCGAUGCAACGCGAAGAACCUUACCUGGUCUUGACAUCCACGGAAGUUUUCAGAGAUGAGAAUGUGCCUUCGGGAACCGUGAGACAGGUGCUGCAUGGCUGUCGUCAGCUCGUGUUGUGAAAUGUUGGGUUAAGUCCCGCAACGAGCGCAACCCUUAUCCUUUGUUGCCAGCGGUCCGGCCGGGAACUCAAAGGAGACUGCCAGUGAUAAACUGGAGGAAGGUGGGGAUGACGUCAAGUCAUCAUGGCCCUUACGACCAGGGCUACACACGUGCUACAAUGGCGCAUACAAAGAGAAGCGACCUCGCGAGAGCAAGCGGACCUCAUAAAGUGCGUCGUAGUCCGGAUUGGAGUCCGCAACUCGACUCCAUGAAGUCGGAAUCGCUAGUAAUCGUGGAUCAGAAUGCCACGGUGAAUACGUUCCCGGGCCUUGUACACACCGCCCGUCACACCAUGGGAGUGGGUUGCAAAAGAAGUAGGUAGCUUAACCUUCGGGAGGGCGCUUACCACUUUGUGAUUCAUGACUGGGGUGAAG